Long non-coding RNA from Corvus moneduloides (New Caledonian crow), 2039 nucleotides. The record is from Ensembl. Lineage: Eukaryota; Metazoa; Chordata; Aves; Passeriformes; Corvidae.
GAAAUGCCAGACCAUGACUGUGCUGGGACAUUUUGAGCUUUUGGUCAGCGUUCUGGUAGGUGCUGUGGAACUUUUUCAGAUUUCGAUAUGCAGAGAUACUGUCUUAAACCCCUCCGUGGAAAUUUAUGGUCUUAUUUUGUCUUCCUCUUGUUCUUUCCCCGUGACUUUCAGUGACCAAAGUCUUUCGUCGGUCAUGUUGUUUCCUCUCUGGCAGACUGCAGCUGCCUAUAUUAGGAAGUGCGGCCGAGCAACUGUGUUGUACGCUGGUGUCGAGGGUGAAACCGCGGGGUUUGCGGAGAGCUCGGCCCUCGCCGCCCGUCCAGAGGAGCGGAGCUGCGUGUGCGGCCCGUGCCGUGGGAGCGCGGUGCCGGCACCCCCGGGCCUCGCCUGCCCCAGAACGCGCCAGGACGGGGUCGGCGGCCCAGGCCGCCUGCAGCGGCACCGCCCCUCUGGCCGCCCCCCUUCCCGGCUGCCCGCGGGCUGGAAAUUCCCGCCCGGGAAGCACACUCGGGUUUCCCCCGCUGGCAGAGGAAAGUACCCAAGGUCCCCGCUGACGGGCCAUCCGCCCCCGCAGCACAGCGCCUCGAAGGGGCGGAGCCCCGGCGCCGAGGGCCCGCACAGCCCCGCAGCGCCGCUCCCGCUGCCGGCUGCCGCACGACGGCGCUGCUGGCCCGCGAAGGGCGGGGCUGUGCCCGCCCCGUCAGGCGGUGCCUGCGCCCGCCGGGAGCUCCCGGGGAGAGCCGAGCCGGAGUUUCCCGGGCGGGGCGCUGCCGGCGGGGGCUCCUCUCCCCCCGCGGCCUGCCAGGCGCCGCAUAUAGGCUGGGCCUUGCUGGGGGCCGCUGCGGGGCCCCGCUCGGAGGCCGUUUUGUUCUGCCCCAAAAAAUUGAAUGAUUGAAACUACAGAUACUUACAAUUUCUUCUUGAGAACAGUCAGUGUCAAUAUGGAGACGUAGGCACCUUAGAAGGGACUUCAGUCUUAACUCUGGGAGGUAGUUCUGUGCAGAAAUAAAGAAACUAAGGCAGAAAUAAGAAACUAACCUGAGAGUUCUGUUUGCUUCUGUAUGCCAGAAACAUGGCAUACAGAAAAAACUUAAUUCAACAGUAUAAAGCAUCAGAAUGUCUCAACACAAGGCAAUUAAUUUAUGUUAAAUUCGAUAACUCUGUACUUGUAACUAAGGCACCAGGCUAAAACUGAAAUGCUCUGUUAAUUCAGUGCUGACUUGUAGACAAGCCUGGGGCUAUCCUGGUUUGUUAAUAGAGUUCAUCCUUGUCUGAGACAGUGUAUAGGAUUUGUUUCUCUAAUAGCUGAAUAUUCUAUACAUGUGAAGUUGAGCAUAAACUAACUUCUUUAGUCCAACAACUUGUUACAACAAUAUGCAGAAAUUGAGAGGGGUUUUUUUUGGAGUCCAGUAGUAGCAAAUAUACGAGAUCAGUUUAGUAAUGUCAGUUCAGGGUCUCUAUUUUUUGUGUGCCCUUUGAACUUGAUAAACCCUUCUUUUCAGCCUCCUGUUGAGGUUUUACAAACUGAAAUCUUUCUGUGUGUAUAAGCUACAUAUUUAUCAGAUGUCUAGGGUGAAAUCUUGUCCUUAAAUCACUUAACAUAUGUUCUGGAUAAGAACAGUGUUGUUUUAGUUGCCCCCCAAUUUAGUUUCUCUACUGACAAAGGAUUUUGAUAAACCCAUUUGAGAUUUUUCCUCUUUUGAUCCCACCUCCACGAGCCUGACAAAUUGGUACUGCUCUCCCAGAUAUACAGAACAAAUGAAGCAUGUGAUUCUUAUAUGAUUCAAGGGAAAUUCCUUUUCAACAUACUUUUUUCAGUUGUUGAAAUGGGAUUGGGCAGCUUUUGCACUGAAAGCAGUUGCUAAACUAAGAUACAAGAACUUCUCAAAUGUUUAAAGGCUGUUAAAUCAUGAGGUCAGUUCUAUUAAUUGCACAUUUGAAGUUACACUUUAAAGUAUUUAUUGCUUUUGUACAGACAGGGGUUAUUCCAAAUUGCCUUUAAUGCACACAACUACCUCCCAGAGGAAGACUUGUCCCAU